RNAcentral lists this ribosomal RNA (305 nucleotides) under uncultured bacterium. Its description in RNAcentral is "bacterial SSU rRNA". It matches the Rfam family "Bacterial small subunit ribosomal RNA", at positions 333 to 637 of the family's 1533-position model. The record is from RNAcentral.
GUUGCCCUACGGGGCCAGCAGUGAGGAAUAUUGGUCAAUGGCCGGAAGGCUGAACCAGCCAAGCCGCGUGAAGGACGAAGGUGCCAAGCAUUGUAAACUUCUUUUGUCAAGGGACAAAAUCAGGCUCGAGAGCCUGACCGAGGGUACUUGAAGAAAAAGCAUCGGCUAACUCCGUGCCAGCAGCCGCGGUAAUACGGAGGAUGCGAGCGUUAUCCGGAUUUAUUGGGUUUAAAGGGUGCGUAGGCGGAAUAUCAAGUCAGCGGUAAAAAUUCGGGGCUCAACCCCGUCGUGCCGUUGAAACUGAU